This 486-nucleotide ribosomal RNA is filed under the name uncultured bacterium. Its description in RNAcentral is "partial 16S ribosomal RNA". It matches the Rfam family "Bacterial small subunit ribosomal RNA", at positions 30 to 507 of the family's 1533-position model. The record is from RNAcentral.
AUUGAACGCUGGCGGCAUGCCUUACACAUGCAAGUCGAACGGCAGCACGGGUGCUUGCCCCUGGUGGCGAGUGGCGAACGGGUGAGUAAUACAUCGGAACAUGUCCUGUAGUGGGGGAUAGCCCGGCGAAAGCCGGAUUAAUACCGCAUACGAUCUACGGAUGAAAGCGGGGGACCUUCGGGCCUCGCGCUAUAGGGUUGGCCGAUGGCUGAUUAGCUAGUUGGUGGGGUAAAGGCCUACCAAGGCGACGAUCAGUAGCUGGUCUGAGAGGACGACCAGCCACACGGGGACUGAGGCACGGCCCAGACUCCUACGGGAGGCAGCAGUUGGGAAUUUUGGACAAUGGGCGAAAGCCUGAUCCAGCAAUGCCGCGUGUGUGAAGAAGGCCUUCGGGUUGUAAAGCACUUUUGUCCGGAAAGAAAUCCUUGGCCCUAAUACGGUCGGGGGAUGACGGUACCGGAAGAAUAAGCACCGGCUAACUACGUG